RNAcentral lists this ribosomal RNA (393 nucleotides) under uncultured bacterium. RNAcentral describes it as "partial 16S ribosomal RNA". It matches the Rfam family "Bacterial small subunit ribosomal RNA", at positions 523 to 918 of the family's 1533-position model. The record is from RNAcentral.
AUACGGAGGAUCCGAGCGUUAUCCGGAUUUAUUGGGUUUAAAGGGAGCGUAGGUGGAUUGUUAAGUCAGUUGUGAAAGUUUGCGGCUCAACCGUAAAAUUGCAGUUGAAACUGGGAGUCUUGAGUACAGUAGAGGUGGGCGGAAUUCGUGGUGUAGCGGUGAAAUGCUUAGAUAUCACGAAGAACUCCGAUUGCGAAGGCAGCUCACUAGACUGUUACUGACACUGAUGCUCGAAAGUGUGGGUAUCAAACAGGAUUAGAUACCCUGGUAGUCCACACAGUAAACGAUGAAUACUCGCUGUUUGCGAUAUACAGUAAGCGGCCAAGCGAAAGCAUUAAGUAUUCCACCUGGGGAGUACGCCGGCAACGGUGAAACUCAAAGGAAUUGACGGGG